Molecule: transfer RNA, 71 nt
Filed under: Trigonopterus singkawangensis
Lineage: Eukaryota; Metazoa; Arthropoda; Insecta; Coleoptera; Curculionidae
Description: tRNA-Ile
Source: RNAcentral
CGUAGUGUGCCUGGUAAAAAAGGACUAUUUUGAUAGAAUAGAACAUACAGGCCCCCCCCCUGUCUCUACGA